GUGACUCUGAUCAUUCUAAACUAUGUUUUGAUUUAAUAUAGUAAUGGAUCCCGAUGGAACUGCAGCUGAUGAUGCUGCUUGUAAUGCGCCGGCUCCCGCACAAGGGACCUCGCCUGUAGAAAGUAAACCUGAGACAUUGAGACAGGGAGAUGAGGCUCGGGAUGCCUUUCUCCAAAUGAUGAACAAUUGGUAUACUGAGUUUAUUCGAGCAAACCCAAAUGCUCAACCUCCUC
This 233-nucleotide long non-coding RNA is filed under the name Gossypium barbadense (sea-island cotton). RNAcentral's name for it is "long non-coding RNA (GBAR_LNC003180)". Lineage: Eukaryota; Viridiplantae; Streptophyta; Magnoliopsida; Malvales; Malvaceae. The record is from RNAcentral.